GUCUACGGCAUACCACUUAGAAAGCACACUGAGAAAGCACCGGUUCUCGGCCGAUCACCGAAGUUAAGCUCAGUAGGGCGCGGUUAGUACUUGGAUGGGUGACCGCCUGGGAAUACCGUGUGCUGUAGGCA
Nematostella vectensis (starlet sea anemone) is the source of this 131-nucleotide non-coding RNA. The record is from Rfam. NCBI's taxonomy places the organism in Eukaryota, Metazoa, Cnidaria, Anthozoa, Actiniaria, Edwardsiidae.